AGAGUUAAACAGUACGUGAAAUUGCUAAAAGGGAAACGUUUGAAGCCAGUGUUGAGUUGGGUAAAUCAGCCGUUCGGGGUGACUCGGAUGGUGCACUUUAGCCAGCACUGGUCAGCAUCAGUUCAGGCUAAUGUAGAAGGCUUGAGGAAGGUAGCUGCUUGCAGUAUUAUAGCCUCUUGACAUGCAUUGACUUGGACUGAGGAUCGCAGUGUAGACCGUAAGGCAGGGCUACUAGGUGGCUAUUGAAAAGGACGUGGUAGACAGCGUGCUGAGUACCAUUGCUGGAUCAGUACUCAUUUGGCUAGUCACUACUACACUUAGGAUGCUGACGAAAUGGUUUUAAAUGACC
Molecule: non-coding RNA, 349 nt
Filed under: uncultured fungus
Lineage: Eukaryota; Fungi
Also listed under: 1 other name
Source: RNAcentral